Long non-coding RNA from Mytilus californianus (California mussel), 5273 nucleotides. RefSeq lists it as uncharacterized. Lineage: Eukaryota; Metazoa; Mollusca; Bivalvia; Mytilida; Mytilidae. The transcript is spliced from 6 exons. The record is from RefSeq and is a predicted model, not a curated record.
CAUCGCUGAUGAAUUAUUCACUUGCAAGUGAAUAAUUCGACCUCAUUGAAUCCGUAUUCAUGUGACCUUCAAUUGAACCCAUUAGCUAGAGAUUAGUUACGCAUGUAUUAGUCGUGUUCAGCCAUUAAAAGAAAAAGAAUGUCACAUUGAAAGUGAAACAAAGGUGAACCAUUUCGUUAACUGAUUCGAUCCACCAAAAAUCAUUCUUAUACAGAUAUAACCAAACAGUGCAGAUAUACCGAGACCAAGAACUUAAAGUUAUGCAACCUGCUAAUGGAUCGGCGCAAGCUCAGCCACCACCAUACGACGCUGACGAAAACUUUGGUUAUGUCCAUCAGCAACAACAUGCAGUGAUUAUAGUGCCUGAAAACCAAUCAGAACUCGUCACAGUGAAGGAAGACAAUGGAUGUUUACCAGAUACAGAUGACUGGGAAUGGUAUCAUUGGCUGCUAGCUAUUCUAUUUGGAUUGAUUGUCAUUCCCAUACUAGUUGCUUGUUGCAUAUUUUUCGGAAUUUGUAUUUACUGGGUACCAGAGAAAAAUUAGAGGCAGAAUAACAGUUUGUUCCAACACAGAGUUUCUGGACAAACGUUUACCUGUAACAGAUAUAGUGAAUAAUUCAUAAACAUAAUAGUUACCAUGUAAAGAAUACUUAAUGUUUAUCGAUUGUUUGAUGGUUUUGGGUUAAAUCUUACACGUUGAUAUACUUAUUGCUGUCGGUUGGCAACACUUUUAAAUUAGUGAGAUUCUGUAACUGCUAUGUUAACUAAUAUGUUAUUUUUCACGACGUCAAACUUUGACAUAUCGGGAAAAGAUGCAUUUUUGACUGAUUUUUAUCAUUCAGACUGAUUUAACUUGAAAACGAGUUCAUGUACCCCUCUUUUUAAAAAUUAGAUUUGGCUUGAUUUUGUAUGAAGAUUCUUUGUGCCAAUUUUUAUGAACAAAUCACCGAUGAUUUUUUUUUUAAAUCAGAAAAGAAUGCAGCAAAAAAUGCCGUUAUUUGACUAAAAUCAUGAAAGUGUGACAAAAAUGAAUAAUUUCCAAAGAAUUGUUUCACAAAUUCAAAGCGCACAUAUGUAGACAAGAUAUUCCAGAUGCUUUUACAAAAAAACGCUUGAGUUUAUCUUUUGAAACAAAAAGUAAGUAUGUCUUUCCAAAGGAUAGGAAUGUCCAAGAAACUGAAAUUUGCAGUAAAUGUCUGAAAUUUUGACCCCAUUUAUUUAUAAAAGUAGCAUAUGAAGGUAUAUUUUUUAUUACAUAUUUGAAUUGACUAGGUGAAAAAUAGCUUGUACGCAAACUUUCGUCAAAAGUUCACCGUGGGAUCAAAACUGUAUCGUAUGCCCUUAAGAAAAAUCUAUGGGUUGGUAGUUGGAGAUUUAUUGAUUUUAAGACAAAUAUAAGAACUUUUUUCGCCGAUUUUAUGUGCUUUCUAUACGAAAGAUCACCAUUCUUUCUGAAAAUAUUCAUUUAGUAAUAUUUCAGAAGAUAAAAGAGAUAAAUGUAAUAUUUUUUCGACUGUUAGUUAAAAUUCAAAGUGUAAAGUUUUUAGCACAUCUUCAACUAAACACAACUAUUUUGGAUUCUGUUUAAUGAGCGUUUAUUUAAUUAUCAAACCAGAAAAUAAUUCCCAAACCCAUCUAAUUCGAUUGCGCUGCUUUAUACAGGUAGAAAGUACAUCACUGCUGACAUCGAACAUGCAUGUAAGUUAUGAUUGCUCGAACAUAUACCUCAACAUAAUAAUAAGCAAUAGUAACAAGUAAACCAUAUUUAUAAAAUAAAUAUAAAGGACGGAAAAUCUAAAUAAUCCAUAACAGUAUCACAGCACAUGUAAGACAGGACGGAAGUAAAGUCAGCAUUAGUUCUUGCAAAGUUAACAAUGAAUAUAUCACAACUGCUUUCUGUUAUAUACUGUAUAGACAUUCAGGUUAUCUAAAGGAAAAACAGAUGAAGAAAUCUUGUUAACUAACUUUUUGAUAUAUUUACAAAGAGCAAAUAGUCUAAAACAAAACAAAAAACGAUUUUUCCUCAUGCCGAUUUUUAAAACUUCGGAAUAUAUUGAAUUGUCGUAUCUCCGAUUAGUAACGAUUAUCAAGUUUUCUGCAAAUUGAAAACUGAAAUAUCAGAAGUACGCCACAAUAUGAAGCUGUUAAUGGAGUAAGCGAAGGCUUUAUAUUCCGUUGGGAAGCUGAUAGUUUAAAACGGAUCUUUACGAGUUUGACCAUAAACUGUGAUGCAUAAAAAUACAGGAUCAAGUCUGCUAUUAAUGGGCACAAAUAGUUCCCAAAUACAUCUUGUCGAUACACGUCAUUGCCAAAACGUACAUAAAUGAUGUCAAGGAGAAUUCACAGCUUUAUCAUCACAGUUCCAGCAUUUAUAUCUAUCAUUUUUACCUUUUAUCCUUUAUAUGAGUUGAAGAUGAUUGAUUCACUAUUAGAUCAAAGACCAUUUGAUUAAAUAAGAAAACAUCUGUUUGAUAAGAUUUUGUAGAAGUGAAGUACCAAAAAGGUCAUAACUGUAUUUCGAAUUCAAAGGACCACCAAAUGCAGACAAUUUAUCCAAAUUAUCCUACCAAUUGUUUGCACUCCGAAAUGAUUAAUUUCAUAUUUUCAUAUCAUUAAAUUAUUUUGUACGUUGAAUUUGUCGAAUGAGCACGUUUACAGAGAUUUUCAAAAAAAGCUAGACAGAAUUGCUUAUGGAUAGCCUCUUGUUAGAAUAUAUAAUUCUUAAGUCUAUGUAAAAAUAAGGAUAAUUUCUCACGUUUCGAUUUUAUAGGGAGAAAAUUUUGUAUUAACGAUACUAUUGAAAAGCUUUAUAACGUUACUAGGUACAUGUUUAAGCCACAUGACUAAUUUUGUAGCGGGAAUUUUUUCCCCAGUGUCUGUCACUUUCUUGCCCACCGCAUGCAGUGCAAUAUUCGAGUUCUAUUUGAUAAAAUGAAUAUACAAAAAAAUGUAUUAUAAUACAUGUUUUAUAUGUUUCAAAACUUUACACGUCCCAGUAAUCAUGUUGAGACAACAUGUUGACACAGGAUUCCAGUUUAUCCCACAAUUGGGUGAUUGGUUAUUCCUUGGCCGAAAAAAAAGUCGUCCGUGAUCGAGUAAUUCAGUUAUUUAGUAAUUUACAACACGACGGCUGCCACAUGUGCAGGAGGAUCCGCUUACCCUUCCGGAACACCAGAUAUCACCCCCAGUUUUGGGUGGGGUUCGUGUUGCUCAGUCUUUAGUUUUCUGUGUUGUGUUUUGUGUACCAUUGUUUGACUGUUGGUCUUUUUCUUUUUUAGGCAUGGCGUUGUCAGUUUAUUUUCGACUUAUGAGUUUGAAUGUCCCUUUGGUAUCUUUCGCCUCUCUUUUACAAGUAUUCAGUUUACAUUCAUUUCAAUCAUAAUUUAUUUUUGUCUGUAUUAGGUGUUUACAUGUGUCCAGCUAAAUUGUUCCUUUAUUCAUGAUUUUGAAAGUUUAGAUACUAGUAUAGGUGAUUAAUGUUUUUUCGUUGAUCAUAUAUAUAUAUAUGUUUUCUGUUUGGUAAUAAAUUAAUAAUAAGAUCUAUUUUGUUUCAUCUUGUGAUCCGUUUAUUUAGCAGUCGCCAAUGGCAGUCAGCAGGGUUUAAGAACAUCAGUUGUUCGAUCUGCUAGUCAAAUGCGUUUUGUUAAAAUAUACUUUUUCACUCAUUUGAUCUUUUGGAAAAUGUUGUUUGUGCUGUAUUUAGACCCCUCUACCAACAAAUUUGUUUUGCAUGCACACGUAUAAAAAUUGCGUUGUUUUCAAUUUAGACUUGAAUAUAUAUAUAUAUAACUUAGCUAAUCUGCCUAAUAUAUCAUGUACUGUGUUACAAUCUAGAUUCUACUGACGAGGAAAGGUAACACUAGGCCACCGAAAGCUGAAUUUUUAGUUCAGUCUAGGUGGCCGAGUGGUCUAGAGCGCUGGACACAGUGCAGGCGGUGUUGUCUCGAUAUCACAAUAGCAUGCGUUCGAAUCCCGGCGAGGGAAGAAAAAAAAAUUGCUUUCGCAAAUUUGCAGAUUUAACAUUGUUGUGCUGAUAUUUAGAGUAAUUAUGAAUAUAUAUAUAUAAUUUAUAAAUUAUGAAUUAAUUAGCGUGUUUACGUUAUAUUCUUAGACAUUUAUAUAAUUUAUAAAUAUAUGUAAACAGCUAAUACAUUUUGUUGUCCACUAUGCUUGCUGGGCUAUCGGCUAUAAUAUAUAUAUUGUAUUUAUGCAUGUCUUCAUAUAGAAAAAUGAAUAUGAGUGUUUAGGGUAUAUUUUAUAGUACAUUUGUUAUCCCUCUUCUAUACUAUAUUAUUCUAUACAAAAUGUCACUGGUCGUAAAGCAAGCAACAAUCGAUCAAUCAGUCUUAUAAUUAGAUUUACCAUCAAAACAACUUUCGCUUCAAUAAACAAGUUCAAUAACUUCCACAGGAUUUCCGAUUGUUUACAGUAACCAAAAUUAUAAUAAGUCAACUUUAUUUUGUCUUUUGAUUGUUCGUAAUGUGUGGUUGUCCAUCGUUAAGAUUGCAUUCGACUAUAACCUCAUUUUAAAAGGUCAUUAAUCAAAGGUAAAUUUGAUGAUAAGGUCAUCUCAAUAGUAAAUUUGAUUAACAAAUUAUUGAAUCUUCCUACGUUUUGGUCCUAAUAUUUAUCAUUGUCAUGUUUAAUUUCUUAAUUUUAUUAAUUACCCGGUAAGAUGUGGAUUUCGGUUUGACACAAUUCACUUUGCCAAAUGUUAAUGGGACAUUGGUAAUGUUUACGUUUGUAUGAUACACCUAGUAACUGAAGACUGAUUGAUCUCAAAAACUUUCAAUGGUUUAAAAGUUUAAUCGAGCUUAUAUUAUGUCCUUGUUUCUAUAUUAUGCCGACUCUAAAUAAAGCUUAUUUAUUUAUUCAACAUACUCAAUUGAUCAAGCAAGACAUUUCAACCGUGUGUUCUGUUAUUUUUUUUGCCUCAUGUUUACAGUAUUGAAACAACUUGUGUUGCCAGUUAGACGAACAGAGAAUAAUGUUUAGAGUCACUCUUACGCAAUGCCAAAUUUCAAUUUUGAAAAAUGUUUAAUUCACUCUACGACAGAAAAUCAGAAUGCAAACGCUAAAAAAAAGCACAAAUUUGAUACGACUGAAUACCAAAGCUGAAUAUAAUACUUCACAUAGGAGUCGCAUUGGCUGUCAUCAACUUGAACAUUUAUAUUCCUAUCAGUUUUGUUUUGUUUUUCAAUUAUAUAUAUUCUUAUUUAAUCAAUAUCUUUUUAUAUUGCUGUUAAAAAAAGUAAAAUUGUUGAAACUUUUA